AUAUCUCUCCGUACGGGAAGGAUGAGAAGCUUCGACUAAGGUUCGAUUCGAGCGCAGCGAGAAAGCGUUGCCGAAGGCAACGACCCGAAGGGCGAAGCGCGCAGCGCUGAGUAAUCCUUCCCCCACCACCA
RNAcentral lists this small RNA (131 nucleotides) under Salmonella enterica. RNAcentral's name for it is "RtT sRNA". It matches the Rfam family "RtT RNA". Rfam says of the family: This family represents a bacterial cis-regulatory element known as RtT RNA. The exact function of RtT is unknown although it is thought that it may be involved in changing the cellular response in relation to amino acid starvation. RNAcentral also lists the same sequence under 1 other name. The record is from RNAcentral. Lineage: Bacteria; Pseudomonadati; Pseudomonadota; Gammaproteobacteria; Enterobacterales; Enterobacteriaceae.